This 217-nucleotide unclassified non-coding RNA is filed under the name uncultured Gammaproteobacteria bacterium. RNAcentral's name for it is "contains 16S-23S intergenic spacer region". It matches the Rfam family "Bacterial small subunit ribosomal RNA", at positions 980 to 1199 of the family's 1533-position model. Lineage: Bacteria; Pseudomonadati; Pseudomonadota; Gammaproteobacteria. The record is from RNAcentral.
UACCCUUGACAUGCCCGGAACUUGGCAGAGAUGCCUUGGUGCCCGAAAGGGAACCGGGACACAGGUGCUGCAUGGCUGUCGUCAGCUCGUGUCGUGAGAUGUUGGGUUAAGUCCCGCAACGAGCGCAACCCUUGUCACUAGUUGCUACGAAAGGGCACUCUAGUGAGACUGCCGGUGACAAACCGGAGGAAGGUGGGGAUGACGUCGAAUACGUAAC